AGCUCCCACCAAAGACACAGUGGAAGAAAAAGCUGUGAAGUGAAGUAGUUGGGUGGAAGGGCUAAAAAUACACUUGCUUCAAUGAAGUGAGAGUACACCUUCCCCCUGAAGCUGUUGUCUCAUCCACUCCUUCACUCUUCCCUUCUUUGCCUCCCAGCCUGGCUGCUGGUGAAAUGCACAGGAGCCAACGCGAGCUUCUUUUUAAGUGCCAGUGUAACCCAGCCCACAUUUCCCUGCAGCCUGCCCUCUUACUACUUUACACCACUGAACAAAGUAUCCCAUACACCCCCUUCCUCUGUAAUUUUCUCCCUUCCCUUAAUUCCGUUUCUGUACACCAGCCUGACAGGAUUUGGAUGGCUGGCUGAUCAGAAGUUUCAUUAACAAGCAAGAUGAGAUACAGACUAUGACACACUGGUGCAGUGUGCCUGCCUUCUUGGCUCCCUGUAGAAUAGUGGCUCCUCACUAACCGGCAGUGGAGUGUCUGGGAGGGACUCCACAUACUUUGCUCUCAGUUCCCUCCUUUAGCUCAGUCGGGAGGGGGAGUUAUAAAGACAGGGCAAAUGAAAGAGGGGAUAAGGGAAUGAAGCUGGAGGGUGGGGGGGUGGCAGGACUCUGGACAAAAGGACUGAGAGAUCAGCAGAAAAAGGAAGCAAGUAACAAAAAAAUGUACAGACUCAAGAGCAUGGAGGAGAUUCUAGGAGAGCUGGACAGGCCUGAAGAAGGUCCUCAACUCAUCAGAAGGAUGAGUAUCUGCUCCUUUGUGCAAAGAGCCCUCUGACCCCUCUGAUCUUCCAAUUUGCUCAGCUGUCUUUCAACAGUUUGAGUCGGUUACUCUUGCUCAGUUACAGGAGGUGGUGGAUCAUUUAAAGCCUGUAGGCUCACCUUAUGAUCCUAUCCCUCCCCUUUUUCUGAAAGAAGUUUUUUCUACUAUAGGUCCAACCAUUUUAACCAUUUUAAAUAGCAGCCUUACUUCAGGUAUGGUUCCAAAGAAUUUCAAAGAUGCAAUUGUGCAACCACUUCUUAAGAAACCUGGGCUAGAUACAAACGCUGUUGAGAACUUUAGACCAAUAUCUAAGCUGCCCUUUUUAUCUAAAGUCUUGGAAAAAAUUGUAUAUGACCAAUUGAUCUCAUACUUGAAUGCACAAAAUGUUGAGGAGAUUUUUCAAUCUGGUUUUAAAGCAAUGCAUAGCACUGAAUCAGCACUUUUAAGAAUUUUUAAUGAUAUAUUUUUAUCCUGUGAUUCUGGUGAAAGUGUCAUUCUUAUUUUACUCGAUUUAACUGCUGCAUUUGACACUGUAGACCAUGAAAUUUUAAUCUCACGUUUGGAGCAGUGUGUCGGUAUAACAGGUGUGGCUCUGAAAUGGUUCAGGUCUUACUUAACAAACCGAACCUUUUCAGUUCGCUUAGGAAACUGUGAGUCCUCCCGAGCUCCGCUGUCUCACGGAGUACCACAGGGUUCCAUUCUGGGCCCUAUCCUGUUUUCACUUUAUUUACUUCCAUUGGGCUCAAUUUUUAGAAAACACAGACUCUCGUUUCACUGUUAUGCAGAUGACUGCCAGAUUUAUGUUCCUCUUAAAAAGAAAGAUGGGUCGUCUGUAAAUCGUUUACAAACAUGUCUGGAGGACGUCAAGUCGUGGUUGGCGCUAAACUUUCUUUGUUUUAAUGAUUCUAAAACUGAAGUAAUGGUGUUCAGACCUGCCUCCACUGCUGUUCCGUGUGUUGAUUUGCAAUCCCUGAAAUCAUUCUGUAAACCAGAGAUUGUUAAUCUGGGUUUUAAAAUGGAUCCUGAGCUUAAGCUUGAAAGCCAGAUCGGGUUGGUUGUAAGGUCUAGUUUCUUUCAUCUGAGGCAACUGGCCAAAAUUAAGCGCUUUCUUACGAGACAGCAAUUUGAAACAGUAAUCCACGCUUUUGUAACCGUUCGGCUGGAUUACUGUAAUUCUCUUUAUUUUGGGGUGAGUCGAUCUUCUGUUUUUUGACUGCAGUUAGUCCAGAAUGCUGCUGCACGCCUUUUAACUGGCACGCGUAGAUACGAGCAUAUCACCCCAGUUUUAUAUUCACUACAUUGGCUGCCCGUGCAUUUUAGGAUCCAUUUUAAGCUGCUUUUAUUUGUUUUUAAAUGUUUGUCCAAUGCUGCCCCUGUGUACCUCUCUGAGCUUCUUCAUCCAUACAUACCUUCCCGGUCCCUCAGGUCGGCAGACCAGCUCCUCCUGAGCGUGCCCAGGACUAAUCGUAAGCUCAGAGGGGAUCGGGCGUUUGCUGUGGCAGCACCAAAAUUGUGGAAUGAGUUGCCUUUACAUGUUAGACAGGCACCUUCCUUAUCUGUUUUUAAAUCACGUCUUAAAACAUAUUUAUUUACCUUGGCUUUUAGCACAGCAGGACUUGUUGAUGUCUCUUAAUAUGUUUCUUAUUAAUUAUAUUAUUUUUAACUUUAAGAUAUUUUAUAUGUAAUUUAAACUGUUUCCUCUCUGUUUUAUAUUUGUAGCACUUUGGUCAACAUUGUUGGAUGUAAAGUGCGUUAUAAAUAAAGAUGCUAUGCUAUGCUAUGCUAAGAGGAACAGAAAUGACAGGGAUUUCGUAUUACACAGACAGAGCCCUUAAAAAUAGCUUCCAGCAGGCCACUGGUGUGAGUGUCUCUGACCAAACAAUCAGAAACAGAUUUUAACGUGGUCUGAGGGACCUGUGCUCACCGCUCCACUGUGGACCCUCAUUGGCAUUUGUCAUAGGAAACCAGAAAUGGCAGGUCCACCACUGUCACCCUGUGAUUUUCACAGAUGAGAGCGGGUUCACCUUGAGGACAUAUGACAGAUGUAAAAGGAUCUGGAGAAGCUGUGGAGAACAUGCUGCCUUUAACAUUAUCGUUCUGGGUAGAUGAUGGCCACCAGGUUGCACCUCAGACUGUCCAGGAGCUGGUCCAGGUCUGGGAAGAGAUCCAGUUCAUAUUAAUAUAGAUAUCCACAGCUGAACUGCAGCUUUCCUCAAUGAAAUCCAGGGAACUGUACCAAGCGCCAUGAUUGCAUCCAAAGGUGUGGAGCGAAUCGAGCGAUGAUCAUCAUCCUCACCCCCACCGUUGUUGUCAUCGCAGAGGGCAACCGCCGUCGACAGACCUGGAGUUAUUUUAUUUAAACCACACUGACCUCUAGUGGACUUAACAAAUAAUACAAGUGACUUUCAUCCGGGCUCCUUAAAAACCUGCAAAAUUAUUUUAAAUUAUUUUAUCAAGCAAACUAUGGGACGUGUAAAACAUUACCCCCACCAAAAAAUAAAUGUAAAAAAUUGUACUCUAUUUUUUUGUUUCUCGCGAGACAGAUGUUGCUUAAGCAGUCUCAGUCUAGACCUCACUUGUUAGCCCUGCCCUGGGACCAGCUGCUCUAAAUUCUGUACCCUGCAGUAUUUUUCCGCGUUCCCCACCGUCCACACACUCCCCAGCGUCGACUGCCUCUUUCCAGAAAACUUUUUCCAUCUUCAUCAGAUACUAACAAGUACACUUUAAGGUUUAACAGGGCUU
Oreochromis niloticus (Nile tilapia) is the source of this 3505-nucleotide RNA transcript. It is a transcript of the gene named ABI family, member 3b, with no coding region annotated. The record is from RefSeq and is a predicted model, not a curated record. Lineage: Eukaryota; Metazoa; Chordata; Actinopteri; Cichliformes; Cichlidae. The transcript has 4 exons.